Sander lucioperca (pikeperch) is the source of this 178-nucleotide long non-coding RNA. RefSeq lists it as uncharacterized. Lineage: Eukaryota; Metazoa; Chordata; Actinopteri; Perciformes; Percidae. The transcript has 3 exons. The record is from RefSeq and is a predicted model, not a curated record.
GGCUGUAAAAUCUGUGUGGAGAGAGAGAAGGCCUGCAAGGUAGUAUCCAUGAAAGCACACAUUAUGCACAAGGGCUGUCAGUCCUACCAGGAGGUAGAUAUGCCAUAUUGUGAAGGAUCCUGCAACACUUUCACCAAGUACUCAGAAGCAGCAGCUGCUAUGCAGCAUUCUUGUUCCC